This is a non-coding RNA of Jatropha curcas, 1843 nucleotides long. Lineage: Eukaryota; Viridiplantae; Streptophyta; Magnoliopsida; Malpighiales; Euphorbiaceae. The record is from RefSeq and is a predicted model, not a curated record.
GCUAGUCGUCUUUUGCGUUAUCAACCUGAUAAAUUACAUUGAUCGAGGAGCUAUAGCAAGUAAUGGUGUUAAUGGGAGUCGCAGAAGUUGCUCGAAAAGUGGUACAUGCACAUCUGGCAGUGGAAUACAGGGGGACUUCAAUUUAAACAAUUUUGAAGAUGGACUUUUAUCAUCUGCUUUCAUGGUUGGACUUCUUGUUGCUUCUCCAAUAUUUGCAUCACUAGCAAAGAACUUUAAUCCAUUUAGGCUAAUUGGAGUUGGAUUAUCAGUUUGGACACUUGCUGUAGUUGGUUGUGGUUUUUCAUUUAAUUUCUGGUCCAUAAUAAUCUGCCGCAUGUUUGUUGGUGUUGGUGAGGCUUCAUUUAUUAGUCUUGCAGCGCCAUUUAUUGAUGAUAAUGCCCCUCUGGCUCAGAAAACAGCAUGGCUUGCAAUAUUUUACAUGUGCAUACCAACUGGAUAUGCUGUUGGCUAUGUUUAUGGUGGACUAGUUGGAGAUCAUGUUAGUUGGCGUUGGGCAUUCUGGGGAGAGGCAGUUGUGAUGCUUCCAUUUGCUGUUUUAGGUUAUGUUAUGAAGCCGUUACAGUUGAAAGGUUUUGCUCCUGCUGAAUCAAAAAAGGCACUGGCAUCUGUAGAAACAACUUGCUCAGAAGUUCAAGAUGCCGAAAUUUCAACUGGUAAAGGUGGCACACCAUCUGUUCAGGACGAGUUAGAUGGUAAAGGCUCAAAACAGUCUUGCACGUCAAGGUACACAGCCAUUGGUUUGAAUCAAUUCUCAAGGUUUAUGAAAGACAUGAAAAUUCUUUUGGCUGAGAAGGUCUUUGUUGUGAACGUUCUAGGCUACAUAGCAUACAAUUUCGUCAUUGGUGCAUACUCAUAUUGGGGCCCUAAGGCUGGUUAUAAUAUCUACAAAAUGACCAAUGCAGAUAUGAUAUUUGGAGGAAUUACAAUAGUUUGUGGAAUACUUGGCACAAUAGCAGGCGGAUAUAUUUUGGAUUUCAUGACUUCGACAAUCCCUAAUGCUUUUAAGCUUCUUUCUGCUGCUACAUUUCUUGGGGCAAUAUUUUGCUUCACUGCUUUCUGUUUCAAGAGCAUGUAUAUUUUUCUUGCUCUCUUCGCAAUUGGGGAACUGCUUGUCUUUGCAACUCAGCAUAAAAUCCAUGGUAUUUGUGCAGGGUCCUGUAAAUUUCAUUUGUCUUCAUUGUGUUGCACCGAGUAUGAGACCCUUAUCUAUGGCUAUUUCUACUGUUUCAAUUCAUAUCUUUGGAGAUGUGCCUUCCUCCCCCCUUGUUGGCGUCCUCCAGGAUUAUGUCAACAAUUGGAGGGAGACUGCUCUUGUUCUGACAGCCAUUUUGUUUCCAGCAGCAGGGAUAUGGUGUAUAGGAAUAUUUCUGCGCAGUGUAGAUAGAUUUAAUGAAGAAAGCCAGCAUCAAGUCGCUGCAACUGACAGGUCAAACACAACACCCUUACUUGAUGGCAACACAGCAGGAGCAACAGAAGCUUCUGCAGAACCAUAGAGUACUCGGCCAGAAAGGAAUGUGAACUAUCAAUUGCAUAGUCAAGUUGAGAAGAUACACUCCCAUUUAUUCUAUGUGCUGACAACUUGGACUUCAACAAACGUAGCAGAUCUUUAUGCCGAGAUUGUUUUCUCUUCAAUACCUUGAUAAAAGCAUUCAACCCAAGCCAUUCAACUUCUCCCGCCUCCAAUUGAAGAAUGGGAUGGAAAUGAGAACCGAUAUGUGCAGUAGACAUCUUUUUCUUUAUUAGAAUAUACAUAUACCUGUAUUCAGAAAACAAAGAAGCAGCAAAAAUGUAUAAUAAGAUGUUGAAGGAGCUCAAGGGAAAA